This 253-nucleotide ribosomal RNA is filed under the name uncultured bacterium. Its description in RNAcentral is "partial 16S ribosomal RNA". It matches the Rfam family "Bacterial small subunit ribosomal RNA", at positions 524 to 776 of the family's 1533-position model. The record is from RNAcentral.
UACGUAGGGUGCAAGCGUUAAUCGGAAUUACUGGGCGUAAAGGGCUCGUAGGCGGCCAACUAAGUCCGACGUGAAAUCCCCAGGCUUAACCUGGGAACUGCAUCCGAUACUGGUUGGCUUGAAUCCGGGAGAGGGACGUGGAAUUCCAGGUGUAGCGGUGAAAUGCGUAGAUAUCUGGAGGAACACCGGUGGCGAAGGCGACGUCCUGGACCGGUAUUGACGCUGAGGCGCGAAAGCCAGGGGAGCAAACGGG